RNAcentral lists this ribosomal RNA (213 nucleotides) under uncultured fungus. Its description in RNAcentral is "partial small subunit ribosomal RNA". The stretch from base 91 to 213 matches the Rfam family "Eukaryotic small subunit ribosomal RNA", at positions 739 to 864 of the family's 1831-position model. Lineage: Eukaryota; Fungi. The record is from RNAcentral.
GAUGAGGGCACCUGGUUUGACCUCUGGUCAAUACUGGGACGUCCGAGUCUUUCUUUUGGGGAAACUGGUGCCCUUCACUGGGUGCCAUGCGGAACCAAGACGAUUACCUUGAGAAAAAUAGAGUGUUCAAAGCAGGCUUUUGCUUGAAUACGUUAGCAUGGAAUAAUAAGAUAGGACGUUGGUUCUAUUUUGUUGGUUUUCAGGACCAAUGUC